This 163-nucleotide ribosomal RNA is filed under the name uncultured bacterium. RNAcentral describes it as "partial 16S rRNA". It matches the Rfam family "Bacterial small subunit ribosomal RNA", at positions 355 to 511 of the family's 1533-position model. The record is from RNAcentral.
UAGGGAAUCUUCCACAAUGGGCGAAAGCCUGAUGGAGCAACGCCGCGUGUGUGAUGAAGGGUUUGGCUCGUAAAACACUGUUGUAAGAGAAGAAUGACAUUGAGAGUAACUGUUCAAUGUGUGACGGUAUCUUACCAGAAAGGAACGGCUAAAUACGUGCCAC